GAAAAAAAGCUGCAGAUUUUCUCCCCCGACCAGAAAUCGCCUCUGAUUUUUGUUAGGCCAUUUCUUCCUCCUCCGGCCACUAAUCGUCACCAAACUUCUUCCAUUGACUUCGUAUGGUUCUUGCGUACCUGUAUGUGGCAGCCUUGCAUGGAAGCGCCGCCUGUAGAGGCGGCGGCAAGCUUGUUCCUAUUUAAGCCCGAUUUCAAGUCAACGUCGAUAUCUCGAGUUCUAGACAACCAAUCUUCUAGAUUCUUGGACUGGUGAACUCAGAUUGAAGUUCUGAACAAGUAUCAUGAAGAUAUCGAAGCGAGUUGUUGACUUUUUUACGUGGAACGGAGCUCUCAUCGGAUUCUGGAAAUUUUCCAGCGAAACCGUCUGUUCUAGGUGAUCGAUGGAUUGAUUUGACGGACGAUGGUGAAUCGUUGUUGAUCUGUUAAGAAGACGCAGCGGGAAUUUAGAGAUGUCCGAAGUUCGACGGUUAAGGAUGACCGUAGUGUUUGUGUUCUGAGGACGGGGAUGUCCGAAGUUCGACGGUUAAGGAUAACCGGAGUGGUUGUGUUCUGAGGACGGGGAUGUCCGAAGUUCGACAGUUAAGGAUAACCAGAGUAUAUUGUUCUGAGGGCUGAGAGCCGAAAGUUCGAGGGUUAUUAAGUUAACCUGGGAAUAUGUCGUUUACUUGCACCUAGGCCAAGGUGACUGUAGCGAUAUAGUUAGAGCUCUAACGUGUGGUCAAGAUGGACCAGGGUGGUGUCAGGUGGGGAUUGAGUGUUUGUAGGACCCAAGUGGGGUGUUGUGAUUUUGAGGAUUGUGUUAAUGUAUUUCCUCGUGAUUUUCCCGUGAGUGGAUUGACGUCUCCUUGCAGACGUGUUAUUGUUGAUUGAUUUGUGAGUUAAAUGGUUGUAUUAAAAUAAAAUCAAUAGUUCCUUCUUGUUUACUCACACGAGCUGUCAAAAGCUUACCGGGUUUGGUGUUGUUGCAAUCCCGGUAC
Molecule: long non-coding RNA, 988 nt
Organism: Rosa chinensis
Lineage: Eukaryota; Viridiplantae; Streptophyta; Magnoliopsida; Rosales; Rosaceae
Exons: 3
Source: RefSeq, a predicted model, not a curated record